UCUUUUAUAUUUUGGUAUCCCUAU
Molecule: non-coding RNA, 24 nt
Filed under: Mus musculus (house mouse)
Lineage: Eukaryota; Metazoa; Chordata; Mammalia; Rodentia; Muridae
Source: RNAcentral